GGUGGAUGUAGUUUAAUGGUAGAACGUGUGGUUGUGGUCCGCAAAACGAGGGUUCGAUUCCCUCCUUCCACCU
This 73-nucleotide transfer RNA is filed under the name Patescibacteria group bacterium. Its description in RNAcentral is "tRNA-His". It matches the Rfam family "tRNA". Rfam says of the family: Transfer RNA (tRNA) molecules are approximately 80 nucleotides in length. Their secondary structure includes four short double-helical elements and three loops (D, anti-codon, and T loops). Further hydrogen bonds mediate the characteristic L-shaped molecular structure. tRNAs have two regions of fundamental functional importance: the anti-codon, which is responsible for specific mRNA codon recognition, and the 3' end, to which the tRNAs corresponding amino acid is attached (by aminoacyl-tRNA synthetases). tRNAs cope with the degeneracy of the genetic code in two manners: having more than one tRNA (with a specific anti-codon) for a particular amino acid; and 'wobble' base-pairing, i.e. permitting non-standard base-pairing at the 3rd anti-codon position. The record is from RNAcentral.